Molecule: ribosomal RNA, 781 nt
Filed under: Streptomyces sp.
Lineage: Bacteria; Bacillati; Actinomycetota; Actinomycetes; Kitasatosporales; Streptomycetaceae
Description: bacterial SSU rRNA
Rfam family: Bacterial small subunit ribosomal RNA
Source: RNAcentral
UGCAAGUCGAACGAUGAAGCCCUUCGGGGUGGAUUAGUGGCGAACGGGUGAGUAACACGUGGGCAAUCUGCCCUGCACUCUGGGACAAGCCCUGGAAACGGGGUCUAAUACCGGAUAUCACUCUUGCAGGCAUCUGUGAGGGUCGAAAGCUCCGGCGGUGCAGGAUGAGCCCGCGGCCUAUCAGCUUGUUGGUGAGGUAAUGGCUCACCAAGGCGACGACGGGUAGCCGGCCUGAGAGGGCGACCGGCCACACUGGGACUGAGACACGGCCCAGACUCCUACGGGAGGCAGCAGUGGGGAAUAUUGCACAAUGGGCGAAAGCCUGAUGCAGCGACGCCGCGUGAGGGAUGACGGCCUUCGGGUUGUAAACCUCUUUCAGCAGGGAAGAAGCGAAAGUGACGGUACCUGCAGAAGAAGCGCCGGCUAACUACGUGCCAGCAGCCGCGGUAAUACGUAGGGCGCAAGCGUUGUCCGGAAUUAUUGGGCGUAAAGAGCUCGUAGGCGGCUUGUCACGUCGGGUGUGAAAGCCCGGGGCUUAACCCCGGGUCUGCAUUCGAUACGGGCUAGCUAGAGUGUGGUAGGGGAGAUCGGAAUUCCUGGUGUAGCGGUGAAAUGCGCAGAUAUCAGGAGGAACACCGGUGGCGAAGGCGGAUCUCUGGGCCAUUACUGACGCUGAGGAGCGAAAGCGUGGGGAGCGAACAGGAUUAGAUACCCUGGUAGUCCACGCCGUAAACGGUGGGAACUAGGUGUUGGCGACAUUCCACGUCGUCGGUGCCGCAGC